This 429-nucleotide ribosomal RNA is filed under the name Bacillota bacterium. Its description in RNAcentral is "Firmicutes bacterium partial 16S ribosomal RNA". It matches the Rfam family "Bacterial small subunit ribosomal RNA", at positions 355 to 776 of the family's 1533-position model. Lineage: Bacteria; Bacillati; Bacillota. The record is from RNAcentral.
UAGGGAAUCUUCGGCAAUGGACGGAAGUCUGACCGAGCAACGCCGCGUGAGUGAAGAAGGUUUUCGGAUCGUAAAGCUCUGUUGUUAGAGAAGAACGUUGGUAGGAGUGGAAAAUCUACCAAGUGACGGUAACUAACCAGAAAGGGACGGCUAACUACGUGCCAGCAGCCGCGGUAAUACGUAGGUCCCGAGCGUUGUCCGGAUCUAUUGGGCGUAAAGCGAGCGCAGGCGGUUCUUUAAGUCUGAAGUUAAAGGCAGUGGCUUAACCAGUGUACGCUUUGGAAACUGGAGGACUUGAGUGCAGAAGGGGAGAGUGGAAUUCCAUGUGUAGCGGUGAAAUGCGUAGAUAUAUGGAGGAACACCGGUGGCGAAAGCGGCUCUCUGGUCUGAAACUGACGCUGAGGCUCGAAAGCGUGGGGAGCAAACAGG